This is a non-coding RNA of Diceros bicornis minor, 2460 nucleotides long. Lineage: Eukaryota; Metazoa; Chordata; Mammalia; Perissodactyla; Rhinocerotidae. The record is from the annotation of a RefSeq genome assembly.
AUGAACCACCAGACCAAGAUUUGGGACCUGGCCAUGGGUGCUGCUCUGAGAAACUCCAAACUGUUGAAAGUGGUGGGCCAGAGCAGGGACGUAGCAGAGGUUCUUCGGAGACCCAGGCUGGGCUGCAGGGCAGCCGCCUCCUUGACCCCCACCCUCGCCUCCACCACGGCCCCAAAGGUCUUCCCACUGGCCCCCUGCUGUGUGGACACAUCUGGCCCCACGGUGGCCCUGGGCUGUCUGGUCUCCAGCUACUUCCCAGAGCCGGUGACCGUGUCCUGGAACUCAGGCGCCCUGACCAGCGGAGUGCACACCGUCCCGUCCAUCCUGCAGUCCUCGGGGCUCUAUUCCCUCAGCAGCAUGGUGACCGUGCCUGCCAGCAGCUUGGAGAGCCAAACCUACACCUGCAACGUAGCCCACCCAGCCAGCAACACCAAUGUGGACAAGAGAAUUGUCAUAAAAGACUCGAAGUGUUGCCCCAAGUGUCCCGAAUGCCCAGUUCUAGCAGGGCCUUCAGUCUUCAUCUUCCCCCCGAAACCCAAGGACACUCUCACGAUCUCCCGAACGCCCGAGGUCACCUGCGUGGUGGUGGACGUGAGCCCAGACAACCCGCAUAUCCAGUUCACCUGGUAUGUGGAUGGCACGGAGGUGAGCACGGCCAAAAUGAAGCCAAAGGAAGAGCAGUUCAACAGCACCUGCCGCGUGGUCAGCGUUCUCCCCGUCCAGCAGCAGGACUGGCUGAGUGGAAAGGAGUUCAAGUGUAAGGUCAACAAUGAAGACCUCCCGGCCCCCAUUGAGAGGACCAUCUCCAAGGCCAAAGGGCAGGCCCGGGAGCCACAGGUGUACGUCCUGCCGCCACACCCUGAUGAGAUGGCCAAGGACACGGUCAGCGUCACCUGCCUGGUCAAAGACUUCUACCCAUCUGACAUCGACGUCGAGUGGCAGAGCAACAAGCAGACAGAGCCAGAGGGCAAGUACAGCACCACCCCACCCCAGCUGGACAGUGAUGGGUCCUACUUCCUGUACAGCAAGCUCUCGGUGCAGAAGGACAGGUGGAAGCAGGGAGUCAAGUUCACAUGUGCGGUGAUGCACGAGGCUCUCCACAAUCACUCCACGGAGAAAUCCACCUCCCAGUCUCCGGAGGUGGUCCUGGACGAGAGCUGUGUCGAGACCCAGGUCGGGGAGCUGGACGGGCUGUGGACCACCAUCUCCAUCUUCAUCACGCUCUUCCUGCUCAGCGUGUGCUACAGCGCCACCGUCACCCUCUUCAAGGUGAAGUGGAUCUUCUCCUCAGUGGUGGAGCUGAAGAAGACGAUGGUUCCCAGAUACAGGAAUGUGAACAGGCAGGGGCCCUAGGGCCACUCCUCUUGGGCAGGCGUCCAUUGCCACCCAAGAUCCCAGACAAGGUCUGGGUCCGUACAUUCAUGCUGCUCAGCCUGCCGCCCAGACCUGCUCUUCUGCCCUCUGAUCUGCCCAAAGUCUGACCUACCCUCUGACCUCGCGAUCCCCUUCAACCUGGACCUUGCCCUCUGGCCUCAUGGCCACCAUGGGCUGCAUCUUGUCCCCUGACCUCCUUUUGGAGAACCAAGUGGACAGCAGUUGUAACCCUGAGCUGAGCUGAUGGACACUAACUGGCCCCUCCAAGCAACCACCAAGAAACACUGGGGCCAUGUGAACACUGAGUCAUCAAGGCCAACCGUUCCUCACCAGGACUGCCCCAGGGUCAGAUUGUGUGGUCACCCUUGAGGAGAUGAAGUACUGACGCUCCUGUGUCUGUCUGGAUAGGGACCAGCCUUUGUGCAAACUGCAUCCAUGCUGGGCUCCAGGAGGCAGGGUUACCAAGAGGAGACGUGUGCUUUCAGAUCCUUGAGUAGGAACAUCUGCCACCAUGGCCAGGAGGCCCCGGGACCAUCAUCCUCCAACAAGGAAGCUUCCAGGUCACCUCCACCAGAGGAGAACACUUAGGAGGGCCUGGGCCCACGGCAGCUGCUGGAGCCAGGGAAGGUGGGUGUGGCACCAGGGAAGGGCACCACCGGAAAAAGGGUGAGUGUCCAGCCAGAUGGGCAUCCUGGGUGAGGGGGUAACCUGGUCCCAAGUGGGUGUGUCACAGCCUUCAUGGACAGAAGUAGAGAGGCUCCAGGAGAACAGAGCAGCAGGCACAGCAACACUGUUCCUGCAACUGAUUAGGCCUGAGUCACAGUCGACAGGAACUCCAGGUUGUUCCAAGGGGCAGAGGUGAGAGGUAAGACUACCAAGGAGAGAGCCCAUAACUUUGGUGAGCUUGGCCAAAGGGACUGAGCUUAGACCCUCGGCCUCACCAGCCCCAGAACCGAUUCCUGCCUCACGUCUCUGAGGGAUGCCAAGUCAGCAUCUCUAGGUGGGAAGGGCACGGAUGUGCAUGUGAAGGAGAAGCAGAUCGCCACCCUGACUACCCGGGGACAACCUGCAGAGAGAUCGUUCAAA